CCCUUAUACAACAUUAAGAUGAUUCACAUUCUCUUACCCAAUAUUUUACUUCUCAUAUGAAAUUUAAAUCUGCUCCAUCUGGUGCAGUAACAGUUCUCACAGUCUGUGUGGCCACUGAGAAGGGGGGUGGGGGGAGGCAGGAAAGCAAAGCAAAACAAACUUAUAACUAAAUGUGGAAGGCACCUCUUGAUUUCCUGAGAUUGUGCCCUUCCAGGAAGCUCUGUAGCUUGCUGUUGCAGUACUGUGGCUUUGUAUUUUGUCAUCUGCAGUAAGAUUUGCAGCAUUUUUGCUGAAGAGGCAGGAUUCUCAUUUUUCCCUGGGCACUGCAGCACAGAAGCCGUUUUUCAGGCCAGCUUCACCCUCCUGUGAGUGACAAGAGCGAGGCUCUUUCCAGAAAGGACUCACUUCAGGAGCAGACCAUCUGGAUGCUGUCUCAGAGCUGCACAGAAGAAAGUGUGAGAGAGAAAAUAAAAACCAAGAAAUAGCAAGAAGCUUUAGGGGCAACACAGAAGUGGAAAAGGAAAAUUCAGGUCUGUGUUCAGAACAACCCUUCCCAUAUACGGAUGUUUCACAGCAAAUUGUAUAUAAAACCAAGGAGAGCUACAUGCUGUGCAGCAGAAGCACUGUCAGAAAGGAAGAAUAACAAAGAGGACGCUGUGGAUGGGUGCCUAGAACUGAAGUUACACAACAUGCCUGGGGUAGGACAGUGGUAAUCAUAUCACAGCACCCAGCAUGCUACAUCAGGCAGGAGAAAUGCAGAAGGUGUGGGGCCUUCAGCUUAAUUAUCUCCUUAGAUAAAUCCACAUCUAGGAGAAAAGAGAAAAAGACAACAAAGAACAUUUCAGAUUACAGCUGUGACACCACUCUGAGAGCAAAAGACCUGGGGCUGUCAGGUAAGCUAAGCAGUUUCCCUGCAUCAAUCUACAAUGAACUACGUAAGCCACUUAUACCAGAGACUGUUCAAGCCAUUCUCCAUUAG
This 979-nucleotide long non-coding RNA is filed under the name Anas platyrhynchos (mallard). RNAcentral describes it as "lncRNA (ENSAPLG00020017306.1)". Lineage: Eukaryota; Metazoa; Chordata; Aves; Anseriformes; Anatidae. The record is from RNAcentral.